GUACGUAGGCGGCUUUUUAAGUCGGAUGUGAAAUCCCUGAGCUUAACUUAGGAAUUGCAUUCGAUACUGGGAAGCUAGAGUAUGGGAGAGGAUGGUAGAAUUCCAGGUGUAGCGGUGAAAUGCGUAGAGAUCUGGAGGAAUACCGAUGGCGAAGGCAGCCAUCUGGCCUAAUACUGACGCUGAGGUACGAAAGCAUGGGGAGCAAACAGGAUUAGAUACCCUGGUAGUCCAUGCCGUAAACGAUGUCUACUAGCCGUUGGGGCCUUUGAGGCUUUAGUGGCGCAGCUAACGCGAUAAGUAGACCGCCUGGGGAGUACGGUCGCAAGACUAAAACUCAAAUGAAUUGACGGGGGCCCGCACAAGCGGUGGAGCAUGUGGUUUAAUUCGAUGCAACGCGAAGAACCUUACCUGGUCUUGACAUAGUAAGAACUUUCCAGAGAUGGAUUGGUGCCUUCGGGAACUUACAUACAGGUGCUGCAUGGCUGUCGUCAGCUCGUGUCGUGAGAUGUUGGGUUAAGUCCCGCAACGAGCGCAACCCUUUUCCUUAUUUGCCAGCGGGUUAAGCCGGGAACUUUAAGGAUACUGCCAGUGACAAACUGGAGGAAGGCGGGGACGACGUCAAGUCAUCAUGGCCCUUACGACCAGGGCUACACACGUGCUACAAUGGUCGGUACAAAGGGUUGCUACCUAGCGAUAGGAUGCUAAUCUCAAAAAGCCGAUCGUAGUCCGGAUUGGAGUCUGCAACUCGACUCCAUGAAGUCGGAAUCG
Molecule: ribosomal RNA, 768 nt
Filed under: uncultured Moraxellaceae bacterium
Lineage: Bacteria; Pseudomonadati; Pseudomonadota; Gammaproteobacteria; Moraxellales; Moraxellaceae
Description: bacterial SSU rRNA
Rfam family: Bacterial small subunit ribosomal RNA
Source: RNAcentral